RNAcentral lists this ribosomal RNA (502 nucleotides) under uncultured bacterium. Its description in RNAcentral is "partial 16S ribosomal RNA". It matches the Rfam family "Bacterial small subunit ribosomal RNA", at positions 28 to 507 of the family's 1533-position model. The record is from RNAcentral.
GACGAACGCUGGCGGCGUGCCUAAUACAUGCAAGUCGAACGAACCGCGACUAAGUGCUUGCACUAAGUCAAGGUGAGUGGCGAACGGGUGAGUAACACGUGGGUAACCUACCUCAUAGAGGGGGAUAACAGUCGGAAACGACUGCUAAUACCGCAUAGGACAUAGGAUCACAUGAUCCAGUGAGGAAAGGUGGCGCAAGCUAUCGCUAAGAGAUGGACCCGCGGUGCAUUAGCUAGUUGGUAGGGUAAAGGCCUACCAAGGCGAUGAUGCAUAGCCGACCUGAGAGGGUGAUCGGCCACAUUGGGACUGAGACACGGCCCAAACUCCUACGGGAGGCAGCAGUAGGGAAUCUUCCGCAAUGGACGCAAGUCUGACGGAGCAACGCCGCGUGAGUGAAGAAGGUCUUCGGAUCGUAAAGCUCUGUUGUUAGAGAAGAACAGCGCAUAGAGUAACUGCUAUGCGUGUGACGGUAUCUAACCAGAAAGCCACGGCUAACUACGUG